RNAcentral lists this ribosomal RNA (402 nucleotides) under Sugiyamaella sp. BG090816.9.10.1A.3.19. Its description in RNAcentral is "eukaryotic LSU rRNA". It matches the Rfam family "Eukaryotic large subunit ribosomal RNA", at positions 114 to 526 of the family's 3401-position model. The record is from RNAcentral. Lineage: Eukaryota; Fungi; Ascomycota; Dipodascomycetes; Dipodascales; Trichomonascaceae.
UUUGAAAUCUGACGCAAGUCCGAGUUGUAAUUUGAAGAAGGUAAUUUUUGGGGAGAUGUUGACAAAAGUUCCUUGGAACAGGACGUCAUAGAGGGUGAGAAUCCCGUUUUGUUAACCUCUCUCUCCUUGUAAAAUGCUUUCGAAGAGUCGAGUUGUUUGGGAAUGCAGCUCUAAGUGGGUGGUAAAUUCCAUCUAAAGCUAAAUAUUGGCGAGAGACCGAUAGCGAACAAGUACAGUGAUGGAAAGAUGAAAAGAACUUUGAAAAGAGAGUGAAAAAGUACGUGAAAUUGUUGAAAGGGAAGGGUUUUAAGGGAGACUUGGGAGGUAACGAACAAUUUUCUUUCGGGAAGGUGCACUCGUUGCUUUCUAGGCCAAUAUGGAUUUGAAGAGUGGGAUAAAAGG